CCUACGGGUGGCAGCAGGAGGGAAUCUUCCACAAUGGACGAAAGUCUGAUGGAGCAACGCCGCGGGAGUGAAGAAGGGUUUCGGCGCGUAAAGCUCUGUGGGUAGGGAAGAAAGAUAGAGGUAGUAACUGGCCUUGAGUUGACGGUAAGUACGGAGAAAGGCACGGCUAACUACGUGCCAGCAGCCGCGGUAAUACGUAGGUGGCAAGCGUUGUCCGGAUUUAUUGGGCGUAAAGCGAGUGCAGGCGGUUCAAUAAGUCUGAUGUGAAAGCCUUCGGCGCAACCGGAGAAUUGCAUCCGAAACUGUUGACCUUUCGUGCAGUAGAGGCGAGUGGAACUCCCUGUUUAGCG
RNAcentral lists this ribosomal RNA (350 nucleotides) under uncultured bacterium. RNAcentral describes it as "partial 16S ribosomal RNA". It matches the Rfam family "Bacterial small subunit ribosomal RNA", at positions 338 to 680 of the family's 1533-position model. The record is from RNAcentral.